UAUGGAGGGUGCACGCAUUCAUCGGAUUUAUUGGGCGUAAAGGGCGCGUAGGCGGGUAGGUAAGUCAGAUGUGAAAUCCCGGGGCUCAACCCCGGAACAGCAUAUGAAACUACCGAUCUAGAGGGUAGGCGGAGAAAAUAGAAUUCCUCAAGUAGCGGUGAAAUGCGUAGAUAUGUGGAAGAAUACCGGUGGCGAAGGCGACUCACUGGCCCGGUACUGACGCUCAUGUGAGAAAGCGUGGGGAGCAAACAGG
This 253-nucleotide ribosomal RNA is filed under the name uncultured bacterium. RNAcentral's name for it is "partial 16S ribosomal RNA". It matches the Rfam family "Bacterial small subunit ribosomal RNA", at positions 524 to 776 of the family's 1533-position model. The record is from RNAcentral.